RNAcentral lists this small RNA (127 nucleotides) under Marmota monax (woodchuck). Lineage: Eukaryota; Metazoa; Chordata; Mammalia; Rodentia; Sciuridae. The record is from RNAcentral.
GCCGGGCAUGAUGGCACAUGUCUGUAAUCCCAGCAGCUUGGGAGGCUGAGGCAGGAGGAUCAUGAGUUCAAAGCCAGCCUCAGCAAUUUAUCGAGGUUCUAAGCAAUUUAGUGAGACCCUGUCUCUA